This 602-nucleotide ribosomal RNA is filed under the name Escherichia coli. RNAcentral's name for it is "bacterial SSU rRNA". It matches the Rfam family "Bacterial small subunit ribosomal RNA", at positions 1 to 592 of the family's 1533-position model. Lineage: Bacteria; Pseudomonadati; Pseudomonadota; Gammaproteobacteria; Enterobacterales; Enterobacteriaceae. RNAcentral also lists the same sequence under 1 other name. The record is from RNAcentral.
AAAUUGAAGAGUUUGAUCAUGGCUCAGAUUGAACGCUGGCGGCAGGCCUAACACAUGCAAGUCGAACGGUAACAGGAAACAGCUUGCUGUUUCGCUGACGAGUGGCGGACGGGUGAGUAAUGUCUGGGAAACUGCCCGAUGGAGGGGGAUAACUACUGGAAACGGUAGCUAAUACCGCAUAACGUCGCAAGACCAAAGAGGGGGACCUUCGGGCCUCUUGCUAUCGGAUGUGCCCAGAUGGGAUUAGCUAGUAGGUGGGGUAACGGCUCACCUAGGCGACGAUCCCUAGCUGGUCUGAGAGGAUGACCAGCCACACUGGAACUGAGACACGGUCCAGACUCCUACGGGAGGCAGCAGUGGGGAAUAUUGCACAAUGGGCGCAAGCCUGAUGCAGCCAUGCCGCGUGUAUGAAGAAGGCCUUCGGGUUGUAAAGUACUUUCAGCGGGGAGGAAGGGAGUAAAGUUAAUACCUUUACUCAUUGACGUUACCCGCAGAAGAAGCACCGGCUAACUCCGUGCCAGCAGCCGCGGUAAUACGGAGGGUGCAAGCGUUAAUCGGAAUUACUGGGCGUAAAGCGCACGCAGGCGGUUUGUUAAGUCAGA